Molecule: unclassified non-coding RNA, 329 nt
Filed under: soil metagenome
Description: partial contains 5.8S ribosomal RNA, internal transcribed spacer 2, and large subunit ribosomal RNA
Rfam family: 5.8S ribosomal RNA (bases 1-120)
Source: RNAcentral
GAUGAAGAACGCAGCGAAAUGCGAUAAGUAGUGUGAAUUGCAGAAUUCAGUGAAUCAUCGAAUCUUUGAACGCACAUUGCACCCCUUGGUAUCCCGAGGGGCAUGCCUGUUCGAGCGUCAUUUCACCACUCAAGCCUGGCUUGGUGUUGGGCGACGUCCCCUUUGGGGACGCGCCUCGAAACGCUCGGCGGCGUGGCACCGGCUUUAAGCGUAGCAGAAUCUUUCGCUUUGGAAGUCGGGGCCCCGUCUGCCGGAAGACCUACUCGCAAGGUUGACCUCGGAUCAGGCAGGGAUACCCGCUGAACUUAAGCAUAUCAAUAAGCGGAGGA